GACGAACGCUGGCGGCGUGCUUAACACAUGCAAGUCGUACGGUAAGGCCCUUUCGGGGGUCCACGAGUGGCGAGCGGGUGAGUAACACGUGAGUAACCUGCCCACAACUUUGGGAUAACGCUAGGAAACUGGUGCUAAUACUGGAUAUGUUCUCCUGCUGCAUGGUGGGGGUUGGAAAGCUCCGGCGGUUGUGGAUGGACUCGCGGCCUAUCAGCUUGUUGGUGGGGUAGUGGCCUACCAAGGCGGCGACGGGUAGCCGGCCUGAGAGGGUGACCGGCCACAUUGGGACUGAGAUACGGCCCAGACUCCUACGGGAGGCAGCAGUGGGGAAUAUUGCACAAUGGGCGCAAGCCUGAUGCAGCAACGCCGCGUGCGGGAUGACGGCCUUCGGGUUGUAAACCGCUUUCAGCAGGGACGAAGCUUUUUGUGACGGUACCUGCAGAAGAAGCACCGGCUAACUACGUG
Molecule: ribosomal RNA, 465 nt
Filed under: uncultured bacterium
Lineage: Bacteria
Description: partial 16S ribosomal RNA
Rfam family: Bacterial small subunit ribosomal RNA
Source: RNAcentral